AAAUACGCUAAGGGGAGCCGAAAGGCUGAGAGUUCUCUUUUUUUUGGGAAGACCCUAACGACCUGACCUGGGUAAUGCCAGCGUAGGGAAGCGGCAAUAAUAGGA
This 105-nucleotide non-coding RNA is filed under the name Deltaproteobacteria bacterium. RNAcentral describes it as "TPP sequence". It matches the Rfam family "TPP riboswitch aptamer (THI element)". From Rfam's summary of the family: Vitamin B(1) in its active form thiamin pyrophosphate (TPP) is an essential coenzyme that is synthesised by coupling of pyrimidine and thiazole moieties in bacteria. The previously detected thiamin-regulatory element, thi box was extended, resulting in a new, highly conserved RNA secondary structure, the THI element, which is widely distributed in eubacteria and also occurs in some archaea. Lineage: Bacteria; Pseudomonadati; Myxococcota; Myxococcia. The record is from RNAcentral.